CCUACGGGUGGCAGCAGUGGGGAAUAUUGGACAAUGGGGGCAACCCUGAUCCAGCCAUGCCGCGUGUGUGAAGAAGGCCCUCGGGUUGUAAAGCACUUUCAGUGAGGAAGAAAGCCUGGUGGUUAAUACCCAUCGGGAAAGACAUCACUCACAGAAGAAGCACCGGCUAACUCCGUGCCAGCAGCCGCGGUAAUACGGAGGGUGCGAGCGUUAAUCGGAAUUACUGGGCGUAAAGCGCGCGUAGGUGGCUUGAUAAGCCGGUUGUGAAAGCCCCGGGCUCAACCUGGGAACGGCAUCCGGAACUGGCAAGCUAGAGUGCAGGAGAGGAAAGUAGAAUUCCCGGUGUAGCGGUGAAAUGCGUAGAGAUCGGGAGGAAUACCAGUGGCGAAGGCGGCCUUCUGGACCGACACUGACGCUGAGGUGCGAAAGCGUGGGUAGCAAACAGGAUUAGAUACCCCGGUAGUC
Molecule: ribosomal RNA, 465 nt
Filed under: Vreelandella stevensii
Lineage: Bacteria; Pseudomonadati; Pseudomonadota; Gammaproteobacteria; Oceanospirillales; Halomonadaceae
Description: partial 16S ribosomal RNA
Rfam family: Bacterial small subunit ribosomal RNA
Source: RNAcentral